GGCUUCGUGGUGUAGUGGUAAGCACGCUCGACGCGUAACCGAGAGGUCCGUGGUUCGAUUUCCGGCGAAGACG
This 73-nucleotide transfer RNA is filed under the name Stegodyphus mimosarum. It matches the Rfam family "tRNA". From Rfam's summary of the family: Transfer RNA (tRNA) molecules are approximately 80 nucleotides in length. Their secondary structure includes four short double-helical elements and three loops (D, anti-codon, and T loops). Further hydrogen bonds mediate the characteristic L-shaped molecular structure. tRNAs have two regions of fundamental functional importance: the anti-codon, which is responsible for specific mRNA codon recognition, and the 3' end, to which the tRNAs corresponding amino acid is attached (by aminoacyl-tRNA synthetases). tRNAs cope with the degeneracy of the genetic code in two manners: having more than one tRNA (with a specific anti-codon) for a particular amino acid; and 'wobble' base-pairing, i.e. permitting non-standard base-pairing at the 3rd anti-codon position. Lineage: Eukaryota; Metazoa; Arthropoda; Arachnida; Araneae; Eresidae. The record is from Rfam by way of RNAcentral.